GGGCCCGCACAAGCGGUGGAGCAUGUGGUUUAAUUCGAUGAUACGCGAGGAACCUUACCAGGGCUUAAAUGUAAGUUGCAUAGAUCAGAGAUGGUCUUUUCUUCGGACUACUUACAAGGUGCUGCAUGGUUGUCGUCAGCUCGUGCCGUGAGGUGUCAGGUUAAGUCCUAUAACGAGCGCAACCCACGUCUUUAGUUGCCAGCACAUUAUGGUGGGAACUCUAAGGAGACUGCCGGUGACAAACCGUGAGGAAGGUGGGGAUGACGUCAAAUCAUCACGGCCCUUACGUCCUGGGCUACACACGUGCUACAAUGGCCGGUACAGAGAGCAGCCACUACGCGAGUAGGAG
RNAcentral lists this ribosomal RNA (349 nucleotides) under uncultured bacterium. RNAcentral's name for it is "bacterial SSU rRNA". It matches the Rfam family "Bacterial small subunit ribosomal RNA", at positions 917 to 1267 of the family's 1533-position model. The record is from RNAcentral.